GACGAACGCGGGCGGCGUGCCUAAUACAUGCAAGUAGAACGCUGAAGAGAGGAGCUUGCUCUUCUUGGAAGAGUUGCGAACGGGUGAGUAACGCGUAGGUAACCUGCCUUGUAGCGGGGGAUAACUAUUGGAAACGAUAGCUAAUACCGCAUAACAAUGGGUGACCCAUGUCAUUCAUUUGAAAGGGGCAACUGCUCCACUACAAGAUGGACCUGCGUUGUAUUAGCUAGUAGGUGAGGUAACGGCUCACCUAGGCGACGAUACAUAGCCGACCUGAGAGGGUGAUCGGCCACACUGGGACUGAGACACGGCCCAGACUCCUACGGGAGGCAGCAGUAGGGAAUCUUCGGCAAUGGGGGCAACCCUGACCGAGCAACGCCGCGUGAGUGAAGAAGGUUUUCGGAUCGUAAAGCUCUGUUGUAAGUCAAGAACGAGUGUGAGAGUGGAAAGUUCACACUGUGACGGUAGCUUACCAGAAAGGGACGGCUAACUACGUGCCAGCAGCCGCGGUAAUACGUAGGUCCCGAGCGUUGUCCGGAUUUAUUGGGCGUAAAGCGAGCGCAGGCGGUUUGAUAAGUCUGAAGUUAAAGGCUGUGGCUCAACCAUAGUUUGCUUUGGAAACUGUCAAACUUGAGUGCAGAAGGGGAGAGUGGAAUUCCAUGUGUAGCGGUGAAAUGCGUAGAUAUAUGGAGGAACACCGGUGGCGAAAGCGGCUCCCUGGUCUGUAACUGACGCUGAGGCUCGAAAGCGUGGGGAGCGAACAGG
RNAcentral lists this ribosomal RNA (765 nucleotides) under uncultured Streptococcus sp. RNAcentral describes it as "bacterial SSU rRNA". It matches the Rfam family "Bacterial small subunit ribosomal RNA", at positions 28 to 776 of the family's 1533-position model. Lineage: Bacteria; Bacillati; Bacillota; Bacilli; Lactobacillales; Streptococcaceae. The record is from RNAcentral.